RNAcentral lists this ribosomal RNA (253 nucleotides) under uncultured prokaryote. RNAcentral describes it as "partial 16S ribosomal RNA". It matches the Rfam family "Bacterial small subunit ribosomal RNA", at positions 525 to 777 of the family's 1533-position model. The record is from RNAcentral.
ACGUAGGGUGCGAGCGUUAAUCGGAAUUACUGGGCGUAAAGCGUGCGCAGGCGGCGCGUUAAGACAGGUGUGAAAGCCCCGAGCUUAACUUGGGAAUUGCGCUUGUGACUGGCGUGCUGGAGUGUGGCAGAGGGAGGUGGAAUUCCACGUGUAGCAGUGAAAUGCGUAGAGAUGUGGAGGAACACCGAUGGCGAAGGCAGCCUCCUGGGCCAGCACUGACGCUCAUGCACGAAAGCGUGGGGAGCAAACAGGA